AGUCACUGACAUUAGAUACCCGGGUAGUCCAGGGUGUAAACGCUGCAGACUUGGUGUUGGGGGCCCUUUGGGGGCAUUCAGUGCCGGAGAGAAGUUGUUAAGUCUGCUACUUGGGGAGUACGUCCGCAAGGAUGAAACUUAAAGGAAUUGGCGGGGGAGCACCGCAACGGGAGGAGCGUGCGGUUUAAUUGGAUUCAACACCGUAAACUCACCAGGGAAGACUGUUACAUGAAGGCCGAGAUGAAGACUCUGCUAGAUUUUCAG
Molecule: ribosomal RNA, 264 nt
Filed under: uncultured archaeon
Lineage: Archaea
Description: partial 16S ribosomal RNA
Rfam family: Archaeal small subunit ribosomal RNA
Source: RNAcentral